CAGCAGUAGCCGCGGGAAUACGAGGGGGGCAAGCGUUGUUCGGAUUUAUUGGGCGUAAAGGGUGCGUAGGCGGUUUGGCAAGUCUUGUGUGAAAUCUAUGGGCUCAACCCAUAGCCUGCACGAGAAACUACCGGGCUUGAGUGAUGGAGAGGUGAGUGGAAUUUCCGGUGUAGCGGUGAAAUGCGUAGAUAUCGGAAGGAACACCUGUGGCGAAAGCGGCUCACUGGACAUUAACUGACGCUGAUGCACGAAAGCUAGGGGAGCAAACAGGAUUAGAUACCCGGGUAGUCCCUGUCUCUUAUAC
Molecule: ribosomal RNA, 304 nt
Filed under: uncultured bacterium
Lineage: Bacteria
Description: partial 16S ribosomal RNA
Rfam family: Bacterial small subunit ribosomal RNA
Source: RNAcentral